AUUUUCUUUUUGUCGUUUUGUCCUUCUUUCCUUGGCCGCCCUGGCCCUGUAGUGCGUAUGUUGAAAACGGAAAAAGGAGCGCUUUGUGUUACCUUGUUCACGCAUAGCACUGAUAUUGUCGUUUGUUGGACCUUUCUCGUCGUUUAGCUUGUUUGACGUAGAUGUCGCCGUGGGGGGGCUCUUUCCUUUCAUCCGAUCUUGUCACGCGGCCG
Molecule: long non-coding RNA, 212 nt
Filed under: Elaeis guineensis (African oil palm)
Lineage: Eukaryota; Viridiplantae; Streptophyta; Magnoliopsida; Arecales; Arecaceae
Description: long non-coding RNA (EGUI_LNC019494)
Source: RNAcentral